UGCGGUUCCUUUUAAAAACAAGAGUUUGC
Molecule: non-coding RNA, 29 nt
Filed under: Mus musculus (house mouse)
Lineage: Eukaryota; Metazoa; Chordata; Mammalia; Rodentia; Muridae
Source: RNAcentral